This 505-nucleotide ribosomal RNA is filed under the name uncultured bacterium. RNAcentral describes it as "partial 16S ribosomal RNA". It matches the Rfam family "Bacterial small subunit ribosomal RNA", at positions 28 to 507 of the family's 1533-position model. The record is from RNAcentral.
GACGAACGCUGGCGGCGUGCCUAAUACAUGCAAGUAGAACGCACAGUUUAUACCGUAGCUUGCUACACCAUAGACUGUGAGUUGCGAACGGGUGAGUAACGCGUAGGUAACCUGCCUGGUAGCGGGGGAUAACUAUUGGAAACGAUAGCUAAUACCGCAUAAUAUUGAUUAUUGCAUGAUAAUUGAUUGAAAGAUGCCAUUGCAUCACUACCAGAUGGACCUGCGUUGUAUUAGCUAGUAGGUGAGGUAACGGCUCACCUAGGCGACGAUACAUAGCCGACCUGAGAGGGUGAUCGGCCACACUGGGACUGAGACACGGCCCAGACUCCUACGGGAGGCAGCAGUAGGGAAUCUUCGGCAAUGGACGAAAGUCUGACCGAGCAACGCCGCGUGAGUGAAGAAGGUUUUCGGAUCGUAAAGCUCUGUUGUAAGAGAAGAACGGGUGUGAGAGUGGAAAGUUCACACUGUGACGGUAUCUGACCAGAAAGGGACGGCUAACUACGUG